UUUUGCAAGCCUCUGGCAGAGGAAUUGGUUAGUCUCUCCAUGGCCCCAAAGAUCAGAGCUCGAGUUAUGGCUCGAAACUGCGGUAGAUUUAGUUCCAUGCAAAGAAAACAAACAAAAAUCCGUUCACUAUGAAGUCAGCCUUAAGAAGACAAGCCCCUAGGUGCUUGGGAAGCUCGCGUCGACUGAGAGAGAAGAGAAAGGGAAGGAGAGAGCAGAAGACUAAAGAGUGAGGCAACACAGAAGAGGAGAAUGGGAGACGAGGAGAGGUGUUGGUGUAAGAAAGGAAGCGGUGAAAUAAGAUGAAAGCGGUUGGUCUGGGAGCUCGGUAACCGCUGCAAACCAGACUCUCCCUUUCUGUUCCACCUUUAUCGGCAAUACCCUGACACGCCAGCAGAUGGAGAUAUUGCCCUGGAAAAUGUGAAAAUUUUCAGCCCCCCCCAAGUUAAAAUUCAAAUUUUCCUUAACACACCCAAAGAGAAUUCCAGAUAUUUCUGAAUUUCCGAACUAAAUUUAAGAAGCAAAGAUUUUUAUGCUAAAUUUUGCGUACUUUUAAGUAACCCGUGCUUUUAAUCCCAAAGGAGGCCACUGUAAAUUUUUGACCUUAGAUUGCUACUUGAAAAAGGUUCCCAGCGUUCUUUCUGUCCCAUUUCUGUUAUUAUUUAAUGUAUGCAUAUGCGUACAUUGUCUGUGUAUCCUUGGCUGUUAACUAGUUGAGCAACAUUGGAGUGUACUGCAGUUCUGACCCAGCUGACCAAUGGGUGUCCUUUCUUUUCCCAGGCGGAAUCUCUAUCUUUUGCAUUCUCGCCUGUGGUAAUUCUGGGAAUCCUCAUUCUCCCACCAGGAAGAAGGCAGCCAAUGCAGAGGACUUCUAGUGACUAUGUCCUCCUGGUAAAGAGGUACCCCAAAAGGAACUCAUUCUGGUGUAACAGAGUUUCCCGACCUUCAACUAUAUCCAAAUCACAAGCCGAUUUCCAGUCAGAAGAUCUGAUGGAUUCAGAGGUAUAUGUUACCGAGUAAACUCUCUUCUUCCACCAAAGAAGGCCAUCAAACUUGGUAGCAAGUGCCUUAUCCACUGAGCUAUCUUGCCAGCCCUCUCACUCAACAUUUGUUGAGAUUCUCCCAUUUUCUUUUUACGGGACCUUCCAGGAGUUGGAGGUGCAGAAGUGAAAGAAAAGAAAUAAAAUUUCUGGCUGGGUGUGAUGGUGCAAUGCCAGCACUUGACAGGAGGGUGGGGAGUUCAUAGUCUCCCUCAGACACAGAAGGAGUGGAGUUUGAAGACAGCCUCAGCCUAAAAGGAAUACAGACCUCAGCCCCUUCUUCCUCCUUUCAUACUUGACCACCAAAGGAGCAGUUUUGCUCUACCACACAUUCCCUCUUGGGACCCAAAUAAAUUAAUAAUUUAACAAAUAAAA
Molecule: non-coding RNA, 1412 nt
Organism: Rattus norvegicus (Norway rat)
Lineage: Eukaryota; Metazoa; Chordata; Mammalia; Rodentia; Muridae
Source: RefSeq, a predicted model, not a curated record